RNAcentral lists this non-coding RNA (24 nucleotides) under Arabidopsis thaliana (thale cress). Lineage: Eukaryota; Viridiplantae; Streptophyta; Magnoliopsida; Brassicales; Brassicaceae. The record is from RNAcentral.
AGGGGCUGCUCACAUUACUGUCAA